GCUGGCGGCGUGCCUAAUACAUGCAAGUCGAGCGAACAGAUGAGGAGCUUGCUCUUUUGACGUUAGCGGCGGACGGGUGAGUAACACGUGGGUAACCUACCUAUAAGACUGGAAUAACUCCGGGAAACCGGGGCUAAUGCCGGAUAAUAUGUUGAACCGCAUGGUUCAACAGUGAAAGACGGUUUUGCUGUCACUUAUAGAUGGACCCGCGCCGUAUUAGCUAGUUGGUGAGGUAACGGCUCACCAAGGCGACGAUACGUAGCCGACCUGAGAGGGUGAUCGGCCACACUGGAACUGAGACACGGUCCAGACUCCUACGGGAGGCAGCAGUAGGGAAUCUUCCGCAAUGGGCGAAAGCCUGACGGAGCAACGCCGCGUGAGUGAUGAAGGUCUUCGGAUCGUAAAGCUCUGUUGUUAGGGAAGAACACAUGUGUAAGUCACUAUGCACAUCUUGACGGUACCUAACCAGAAAGCCACGGCUAACUACGUGCCAGCAGCCGCGGUAAUACGUAGGUGGCAAGCGUUAUCCGGAAUUAUUGGGCGUAAAGCGCGCGUAGGCGGUUUUUUAAGUCUGAUGUGAAAGCCCACGGCUCAACCGUGGAGGGUCAUUGGAAACUGGAAAACUUGAGUGCAGAAGAGGAAAGUGGAAUUCCAUGUGUAGCGGUGAAAUGCGCAGAGAUAUGGAGGAACACCAGUGGCGAAGGCGGCUUUCUGGUCUGCAACUGACGCUGAUGUGCGAAAGCGUGGGGAUCAAACAGGAUUAGAUACCCUGGUAGUCCACGCCGUAAACGAUGAGUGCUAAGUGUUAGGGGGUUUCCGCCCCUUAGUGCUGCAGCUAACGCAUUAAGCACUCCGCCUGGGGAGUACGGUCGCAAGACUGAAACUCAAAGGAAUUGACGGGGACCCGCACAAGCGGUGGAGCAUGUGGUUUAAUUCGAAGCAACGCGAAGAACCUUACCAAAUCUUGACAUCCUUUGACCGCUCUAGAGAUAGAGUUUUCCUCUUCGGAGGACAAAGUGACAGGUGGUGCAUGGUUGUCGUCAGCUCGUGUCGUGAGAUGUUGGGUUAAGUCCCGCAACGAGCGCAACCCUUGAACUUAGUUGCCAUCAUUCAGUUGGGCACUCUAAGUUGACUGCCGGUGACAAACCGGAGGAAGGUGGGGAUGACGUCAAAUCAUCAUGCCCCUUAUGAUUUGGGCUACACACGUGCUACAAUGGACAAUACAAAGGGCAGCGAAACCGCGAGGUCAAGCAAAUCCCAUAAAGUUGUUCUCAGUUCGGAUUGUAGUCUGCAACUCGACUACAUGAAGCUGGAAUCGCUAGUAAUCGUAGAUCAGCAUGCUACGGUGAAUACGUUCCCGGGUCUUGUACACACCGCCCGUCACACCACGAGAGUUUGUAACACCCGAAGCCGGUGGAGUAACCAUUUGGAGCUAGCCGUCGAAGGUGG
RNAcentral lists this ribosomal RNA (1449 nucleotides) under Staphylococcus lutrae. RNAcentral describes it as "16S ribosomal RNA". It matches the Rfam family "Bacterial small subunit ribosomal RNA". The record is from RNAcentral. Lineage: Bacteria; Bacillati; Bacillota; Bacilli; Caryophanales; Staphylococcaceae.